UGGGGUAUCGCCAAGCGGUAAGGCCCUGGGUUUUGAUCUCAGCAUUCCUAGGUUCGAAUCCUAGUACCCCAGCCA
RNAcentral lists this transfer RNA (75 nucleotides) under Haemophilus influenzae Rd KW20. RNAcentral's name for it is "tRNA-Gln (TTG) (tRNA-Gln-TTG-2-1)". It matches the Rfam family "tRNA". Rfam says of the family: Transfer RNA (tRNA) molecules are approximately 80 nucleotides in length. Lineage: Bacteria; Pseudomonadati; Pseudomonadota; Gammaproteobacteria; Pasteurellales; Pasteurellaceae. The record is from RNAcentral.